GAUCAUGGCUCAGGAUGAACGCUGGCGGCGUGCCUAACACAUGCAAGUUGAGCGGAGAGUUUUCGAAGAAGACUUCGGUUGGAAUUGGAAACGAUCAGCAGCGGACGGGUGAGUAAAGCACAAGGACGUAUCCUUUUGAGGGGGACAACUGCGGGAAACCGGAGCUAAUAGCCCAUAAGCCGAGAGGUGAAAGCGCGAAAAGCGCGCAAGAGGAGCGACUUGUGUCCUAUCAGGCAGUUGG
This 241-nucleotide ribosomal RNA is filed under the name uncultured bacterium. Its description in RNAcentral is "partial 16S ribosomal RNA". It matches the Rfam family "Bacterial small subunit ribosomal RNA", at positions 15 to 252 of the family's 1533-position model. The record is from RNAcentral.